Molecule: long non-coding RNA, 2877 nt
Organism: Choloepus didactylus (southern two-toed sloth)
Lineage: Eukaryota; Metazoa; Chordata; Mammalia; Pilosa; Megalonychidae
Exons: 5
Source: RefSeq, a predicted model, not a curated record
ACCCUGGAGCUCUCCCCAGGGGAAGCUGCCUCACUCAUGUGAGUUCUCUACCCUGGGCACCAGGAGGCACCUGAGUCCUUGGAACCAGGCUGGGAGAGAUGUUGGCCAGUGAAGGUGAGAGAGAAGGAGGGAGAGAGGGAGGUUUCCUGGAACACAGCAGAUAAUGCACCUGCAGAGAGCCCAGGGGCUCGCCCACCUGGGCCAGGUGAGCCCUUGUCCCCACGGAGUUGGGCGCGCCUCUGUGCACCUGUGCUGUGGUCCCCCAUGCACCAUGGAGAGCCUUCUGGGAUACAUUUGAACCAGAUGCAGGGGAGGCUUUCAGAGACAGCGGAGCCGGACAAGAACAGCAGGACUGGGGCAGGCCUCCCUCACCCUUCUCUACCCAGAGGGUGGUUGGGGUCCCUUCUGUGGCUGAGAUUGACUUGGGGCCUCAGGGGACUGUGGAGCAGGGAAUUGUCAGGUGGGUGCCAGGGUCCAGGUGGGUAAAUGCAAUCGAGAGUAGACUUGGGGCUGGCCUUGGGUAGGGGACUUGCAUGGGGCCUUUUCUAGAAUGCAGAUCACCCUGUGGGGCUUUUAUUGAGGUAGGAGGGGAGCUGGGUCCAUGGGGCCAACAGGUUACAGGGAUAAGGUGAGUUCAGGAACAUCUCCAAAGGCUCCUCAGCAUCCUGGCAGUGGGAUAAGCAAGGACGGCAGCCCUGAUGCCCCAGGCAGUGGGGGUGGGCCAGGGAGAUCCACAGCCUGAGCCCUCUCCUCACUCCCCUUGGUCAAACUCACCAGGUGCCCUGCUGGCUCAGGGGCUCUGAUGCAGCAAAGACAGACCAUCUGGAGGGUGCUACUGAGAAGGUCUAGAAAGCCCACAGGGAGCUCCACCACUCUCUGCCACCAAGGAGUCCCAGGGAGACGGACGGGAGACUUGCCAAUGGAGGUCCUUGGAGAUGCAGAGAGCACAAGCAGACACGGGCACUCUCAGGAGCCCUGGUUAAAUGUGACUUGUGCAGAGGGUCAAAGAUUUGUUUUGGCAAAGCAAGGAGAAAGGCAAGAAAGCCAAGCAUUGUGGCUACUGUCAGACCUUCUAAGUACUUUCCACUGUGGGCAAAGUAUAAAGAAAGAGUUCCUUCUGGUUCCUGGUCUUGCCCGUCCUAUCAGCUGUGUCCUUCUGGAGCCUAGCAGCACCCAAAAUUUCUGUGACCAGAGCAGUGACGACUUGCGGCAAAGCAGGCUGCAGAGCUUCUCCACCUGCCUUGGACCCUCCUGGCUUCCCUGCUGUUGACCAUGUCUCCUGCCCAGGAAGGAUGGGGGAAUUUCCUGAGAGUUCUUUGUGCUCUAUAUGAAGUUAAUACAAAUGCAAAUUCAAUACAACAAGAAUUCAAAGACAAGCAAUAAGGAGUUGCUUCUUUACUUGUCCUGAUAAAUCCUUCCACAUGGAAGGAUCCACACUGGAACUCUCUGACCUCUCUCUGACCCCACACUGGAAGUGGGGGAACAUCUGAUUGCAGUUCAUCAGGUGCGGCCAAACCCAACAAUAAGAGAAUGAAGCAGCAGGAUGAAAAGCCACGAAAGAUUGUUCGACAACAUUCUGCAACGAAAAGAGUAUGACCCAAGAAUACGAACAUGAUCAUUCAUGUAUGAAAGCAACUACCAGUCCUUUCCCACCAUGAAAGAAGGCAGGAAAUAAAACACCCAUCAACUCUUCUUGAAAUUAGUUUUCAGUGACAAAACCCUGUCAACCGAGAGAUGAUUCAAAAUUAAAAAAUACUCGGUAAUGUGGGACCUAUGCCAGAAUGACAGAGCUUCAGAUCUAUUUGAGUGCAGAACUAGGAAUAGCAAAUAGGUGAAUGCUGGUUGCAGAAUAGAAUGCAAAUGUUAUAAAACCUGUCAAAGUAAAAAUAAUCUAAGCAACAAAAGUUGGGCGGUGGGUGGAGGGGAGAUGGGAGUGCCCUUAUUAACAAGCUCUUUCAUCCGUGACAUCUAAAAUUGAAACAAGUCGUUUAAAAAAACCCACAGAGACUGCAAUCCUUUAACAGUUUUUGUAGCUCUGCUCCCUCCACCCACCCACCCCCACCUCUCUUUUUCCAUUAGAAGGAUCUUUUAGGAACGAAUACUUCUAGUGAUGAGUUAACAUUUUUCUAAAGUCAAGCUACAUUUCCAUUUUACUUCAGUUUCUUCUUAUUCAGUCAAUUUAUAGUAAGCUUAAAUUUCAUGCUUGUCAUUUUAAAAUGGAAAAUAUUGUAUGAUCAUAUUUUUACGCAAUUUCUUUUGUCCAUCUUUCUACCCGUCCAGCCCUAGUUUCCUAGGGCUGCGAUCACAAAUUACCCAGUUACGUAAACCAGGUGGCUUAAAACCACAGAGACUUCUUCUCCCACAGUUUUGGAGGCUAGAAGUCCAAACUCAAGGAGUCGGUGGGGCCGUGCUCCCUCUGGAGACUGCAGGGGAGGAGCCCUUCACCUCCUCUUGCUCUGAAUCCUCGGCUUCCAUCACAUGCGGCUGCGUCACCUGCUGUCUGCCUCCGAAUCCACAAGGCAUUUUCCCCGUAUCUGUGUGUCCACACACGGGCUUCUCAUAAGGACCCCCAUCACGUUGGAUGACGGGGCUGCCCUAUUCAGGAUGACCUCGUCUUUACCUGCUCAACCUGCAGGUAAGACUGCAUCCACAGGUGCCAGGGGUCAGGACUUCAACACAUCUUUUUGGGAGACAGAAUUCAACACGUCACACCAUCUGUCCAUCCACCCAUCCCUCUAGCCUUUACUCGGAAUAGCCUGGAAUGAAGGCCACCGAUGCUAACCCUGGUUAAAUCUGGGUGUUUGGAUUUGGGGUGACUGUUGCUUUCUUCUUUGUUCAUGUAUCAUUUUUUUAAAAAAAGAGUCCAACAGAGUAAAA